UCAGCCUACGGGAGGCAGCAGUGAGGAAUAUUGGUCAAUGGGCGAGAGCCUGAACCAGCCAAGUCGCGUGAGGGAAGACGGUCCUACGGAUUGUAAACCUCUUUUGCCGGGGAGCAACGGGGUCCUUGCGAGGGCCCGAUGAGAGUACCCGGAGAAAAAGCAUCGGCUAACUCCGUGCCAGCAGCCGCGGCAAUACGGAGGAUGCGAGCGUUAUCCGGAUUUAUUGGGUUUAAAGGUUGCGUAGGCGGGCUGUUAAGUCAGCGGCCAAAUGUCGGGGCUCAACCCCGGCCUGCCG
Molecule: ribosomal RNA, 295 nt
Filed under: uncultured bacterium
Lineage: Bacteria
Description: partial 16S ribosomal RNA
Rfam family: Bacterial small subunit ribosomal RNA
Source: RNAcentral